GGUGCAACCCUCCCGGGUGAUGGCCUGUCGGCAGAUACCACAGGGCUUCACCUUCUUGAAGGUCUUCACCUUGAAGUGGUGCCGGAACAGUGUGAUCCCUAAAGAAGGAGCGAAUUGAAUGGAGUGGAUGCCUGGCCUCAGUUCCCCCAUGUCAUUGUACUGACCUGCCCUCGGGGAGAGGACACAGGUCACCCCCUUCACCAGCCACCGAUCCAAGCUCAGAAGAAAGCUCUCUGACUCUGGCCUCUCUCUGCCCUGCUCGGCUCCUUCACAAACCACAUCCCAACGCUCCUGAUCAACAAGUCCCAGGUCCCUUUUUGUGCCCACCCUUCCCGGGGUGAAAGGACACAGGGAUGGGAUAGUCUGAGCCACAUUCAUGGGCUGGUGCCACGGCAAGAGGCUGCCACGGAGUCCCUCACGGACCCCUCACAGUGAUGAUGAGGUGAGGAGCUUACUCCAGACACACAGGUAGGGCAGGAUGGAACAAAGAUUCGAAUCCAGGUCUGACUGGGGCAAGGUCCCAAGUCCCUAGCCACCUCACUGCCAUCAUCUGUAACAGUGUGCCGGAAGUGGCCCGUCCUGGCCGUCUCUAGGAGCCCUGACAGUCACAUCGUCAGUGCCCCUCUACCCAAAGGCCAUAUCCUGGCUAGUUGACCCUGUCCUAUCCAUCCACAACUAUCUUCAUUUGCUGUACUUGGACUUCCGAGCUCUCAGCUUCACCUCUGCAUUAAAGGCCUCCCAAGAGGCCUUUCCUAACACCUCUG
Long non-coding RNA from Leopardus geoffroyi (Geoffroy's cat), 764 nucleotides. RefSeq lists it as uncharacterized. The transcript is spliced from 3 exons. The record is from RefSeq and is a predicted model, not a curated record. NCBI's taxonomy places the organism in Eukaryota, Metazoa, Chordata, Mammalia, Carnivora, Felidae.